UGGGGAAUAUUGCACAAUGGGCGCAAGCCUGAUGCAGCCAUGCCGCGUGUGUGAAGAAGGCCUUCGGGUUGUAAAGCACUUUCAGCGAGGAGGAAGGUGGUGAACUUAAUACGUUCAUCAAUUGACGUUACUCGCAGAAGAAGCACCGGCUAACUCCGUGCCAGCAGCCGCGGUAAUACGGAGGGUGCAAGCGUUAAUCGGAAUUACUGGGCGUAAAGCGCACGCAGGCGGUUUGUUAAGUCAGAUGUGAAAUCCCCGGGCUCAACCUGGGAACUGCAUUUGAAACUGGCAAGCUAGAGUCUCGUAGAGGGGGGUAGAAUUCCAGGUGUAGCGGUGAAAUGCGUAGAGAUCUGGAGGAAUACCGGUGGCGAAGGCGGCCCCCUGGACGAAGACUGACGCUCAGGUGCGAAAAGCGUGGGGAGCAAAACAGGAUUAGAUACCCUGGUAGGUCCACGCUGUAAAACGAUGUCGAUUUUGGAGGUUGUGCCCUUGAGGCGUGGCUUCCGGAGCUAACGCGUUAAAUCGACCGCCUGGGGAGUACGGCCNCAAGGUUAAAACUU
This 560-nucleotide ribosomal RNA is filed under the name uncultured bacterium. RNAcentral's name for it is "partial 16S ribosomal RNA". It matches the Rfam family "Bacterial small subunit ribosomal RNA", at positions 355 to 902 of the family's 1533-position model. The record is from RNAcentral.